Molecule: ribosomal RNA, 433 nt
Filed under: uncultured bacterium
Lineage: Bacteria
Description: partial 16S ribosomal RNA
Rfam family: Bacterial small subunit ribosomal RNA
Source: RNAcentral
AACGAACGCUGGCGGCAUGCCUAACACAUGCAAGUCGAACGAGACCUUCGGGUAUAGUGGCGCACGUGUGCGUAACGCGUGGGAAUCUGCCCUUGGGUUCGGAAUAACAGUUGGAAACGACUGCUAAUACCGGAUGAUGACGUAAGUCCAAAGAUUUAUCGCCCAAGGAUGAGCCCGCGUAGGAUUAGCUAGUUGGUGAGGUAAAGGCUCAUCAAGGCGACGAUCCUUAGCUGGUCUGAGAGGAGGAUCAGCAACACUGGGACUGAGACACGACCCAGACGCGUACGAGAGGGAGGGGUGCGGAAUAUUGGAAAUUGGGUGGAGGCCUGGUCAAGCAGUGCCGCAUGAAUGAUAAAGGACUUGGGGUUGUAAAGCGCUUUUAUACGGGAUGAUAAUGACAGUACCGGGAGAAUAAGCGACGGCUAACUCCGUG